GACGAACGCCGGCGGCGUGCUUAACACAUGCAAGUCGAACGGAAAGGCCCUGCUUUUGUGGGGUGCUCGAGUGGCGAACGGGUGAGUAACACGUGAGUAACCUGCCCUUGACUUUGGGAUAACUUCAGGAAACUGGGGCUAAUACCGGAUAGGAGCUCCUGCUGCAUGGUGGGGGUUGGAAAGUUUCGGCGGUUGGGGAUGGACUCGCGGCUUAUCAGCUUGUUGGUGGGGUAGUGGCUUACCAAGGCGUUGACGGGUAGCCGGCCUGAGAGGGUGACCGGGCACAUGGGAAGUGAGACGCGGUGCAGAGUACUACGGGAGGCAGCAGUGGGGAAUAUUGGACAAUGGGCGAAAGCCUGAUCCAGCCAUGCAGCGUGUGUGAAGGCGGUCGUCGGAUUGGAAAGCAGGUUAAGUUGGGGGGAAGGGCAGUAAGUUAAUACCUUGCUGUUGUGACGUUACCAACAGAAGAAGCACCGGCGAACUUCGUG
This 488-nucleotide ribosomal RNA is filed under the name uncultured bacterium. Its description in RNAcentral is "partial 16S ribosomal RNA". It matches the Rfam family "Bacterial small subunit ribosomal RNA", at positions 28 to 507 of the family's 1533-position model. The record is from RNAcentral.